Small nuclear RNA from Nannospalax galili (Upper Galilee mountains blind mole rat), 104 nucleotides. The record is from Ensembl. NCBI's taxonomy places the organism in Eukaryota, Metazoa, Chordata, Mammalia, Rodentia, Spalacidae.
GUACACAGUGUAGCAGCAUAUAUACUAUAAUGAGAACAAUACACAGAUUAGCAUGGCCCCCAUGCAAGGAUGACAUGAAAGUUCAUGAAGCGUUUCUUGUUGUU